CAACAACAACAAUAACAACAACAACAACCUCAACAAGUGUUUCUUCCUACCAGUCCGUUUAAGGCCCAGGCGGAGUCAUUCUUCCUGCUCCACUAUAUACUCUCCCUGCACUUCACCCUUCGCACAGGUUCAAGGUGGCGCCGCUCUUGGCUGUCUCCAAAGCAAAUGUUGACGCAGUGCUCAGAGAAGGAGGAAGAGACAGCGCCUUGAACUCCGGUGACAUAGAAUGGGCA
Eriocheir sinensis (Chinese mitten crab) is the source of this 233-nucleotide long non-coding RNA. RefSeq lists it as uncharacterized. Lineage: Eukaryota; Metazoa; Arthropoda; Malacostraca; Decapoda; Varunidae. The transcript has 3 exons. The record is from RefSeq and is a predicted model, not a curated record.